CCUACGGGAGGCAGCAGUGAGGAAUAUUGGUCAAUGGACGAGAGUCUGAACCAGCCAAGUAGCGUGAAGGAUGACUGACCUAUGGGUUGUAAACUUCUUUUAUAUGGGAAUAAAAUGUUCCACGUGUGGGAUUUUGUAUGUACCAUAUGAAUAAGGAUCGGCUAACUCCGUGCCAGCAGCCGCGGUAAUACGGAGGAUCCGAGCGUUAUCCGGAUUUAUUGGGUUUAAAGGGAGCGUAGGUGGAUUGUUAAGUAAGUUGUGAAAGUUUGCGGCUCAACCGUAAAAUUGCAGUUGAAACUGGCAGUCUUGAGUACAGUAGAGGUGGGCGGAAUUCGUGGUGUAGCGGUGAAAUGCUUAGAUAUCACGAAGAACUCCGAUUGCGAAGGCAGUUCACUGGACUGCAACUGACACUGAGGCUCGAAAGUGUGGGUAUCAAACAGGAUUAGAUACCCUAGUAGUC
This 460-nucleotide ribosomal RNA is filed under the name uncultured bacterium. RNAcentral describes it as "partial 16S ribosomal RNA". It matches the Rfam family "Bacterial small subunit ribosomal RNA", at positions 338 to 795 of the family's 1533-position model. The record is from RNAcentral.